Molecule: ribosomal RNA, 253 nt
Filed under: uncultured bacterium
Lineage: Bacteria
Description: partial 16S ribosomal RNA
Rfam family: Bacterial small subunit ribosomal RNA
Source: RNAcentral
UACGUAGGGUGCAAGCGUUGUCCGGAAUUAUUGGGCGUAAGGAGCUCGUAGGCGGUCUGUCGCGUCGGCUGUGAAAACCUGGGGCUUAACUCCGGGCCUGCAGCCGAUACGGGCAGACUAGAGUUCGGCAGGGGAGACUGGAAUUCCUGGUGUAGCGGUGAAAUGCGUAGAGAUGUGGAGGAACACCAGUGGCGAAGGCGACUUUCUGGUCUAUAACUAACACUGAGGCGCGAAAGCGUGGGGAGCAAACAGG